This 254-nucleotide ribosomal RNA is filed under the name uncultured bacterium. Its description in RNAcentral is "partial 16S ribosomal RNA". It matches the Rfam family "Bacterial small subunit ribosomal RNA", at positions 524 to 776 of the family's 1533-position model. The record is from RNAcentral.
UACGUAGGGGGCAAGCGUUGUCCGGAAUCAUUGGGCGUAAAGCGCGUGUAGGCGGAUCGGCACGUCCGUGGCUGAAAGCCCCCGGCUCAACCGGGGAAGUGGCGUGGAUACGGCCGAUCUGGAGGGGGGUAGGGGGACCUGGAACUUCCGGUGGAGCGGUGAAAUGCGUUGAGAUCGGAAGGAACGCCCGUGGCGAAAGCGAGGUCCUGGACCAUUUCUGACGCUGAGACGCGAAAGCCAGGGGAGCGAACGGG